CCUACGGGAGGCAGCAGUGAGGAAUAUUGGUCAAUGGACGCAAGUCUGAACCAGCCAUGCCGCGUGCAGGAAGACGGCUCUAUGAGUUGUAAACUGCUUUUGUACGAGGGUAAACGCAGAUACGCGUAUCUGUCUGAAAGUAUCGUACGAAUAAGGAUCGGCUAACUCCGUGCCAGCAGCCGCGGUAAUACGGAGGAUUCAAGCGUUAUCCGGAUUUAUUGGGUUUAAAGGGUGCGUAGGCGGUCGGAUAAGUUAGAGGUGAAAUCCCGAGGCUCAACUUCGGAAUUGCCUCUGAUACUGGUCGGCGAGAGAGUAGUAGAGGUAGGCGGAAUGUAUGGUGUAGCGGUGAAAUGCUUAGAGAUCAUACAGAACACCGAUUGCGAAGGCAGCUUACCAAGCUACUUCUGACGUUGAGGCACGAAAGCGUGGGGAGCAAACAGGAUUAGAUACCCGAGUAGUC
This 460-nucleotide ribosomal RNA is filed under the name uncultured bacterium. Its description in RNAcentral is "partial 16S ribosomal RNA". It matches the Rfam family "Bacterial small subunit ribosomal RNA", at positions 338 to 795 of the family's 1533-position model. The record is from RNAcentral.